GAGUUUGAUCCUGGCUCAGAACGAACGCUGGCGGCAUGCCUAACACAUGCAAGUCGAACGAACUCUUCGGAGUUAGUGGCGCACGGGUGCGUAACGCGUGGGAAUCUGCCCUUGGGUACGGAAUAACUCAGAGAAAUUUGUGCUAAUACCGUAUAAUGACUCCGGUCCAAAGAUUUAUCGCCCAAGGAUGAGCCCGCGUAAGAUUAGCUAGUUGGUGGGGUAAAGGCCUACCAAGGCUACGAUCUUUAGCUGGUCUGAGAGGAUGAUCAGCCACACUGGGACUGAGACACGGCCCAGACUCCUACGGGAGGCAGCAGUGGGGAAUAUUGGACAAUGGGCGAAAGCCUGAUCCAGCAAUGCCGCGUGAGUGAUGAAGGCCUUAGGGUUGUAAAGCUCUUUUACCCGGGAUGAUAAUGACAGUACCGGGAGAAUAAGCUCCGGCUAACUCCGUGCCAGCCGCCGCCGUAAG
RNAcentral lists this ribosomal RNA (469 nucleotides) under uncultured microorganism. RNAcentral's name for it is "bacterial SSU rRNA". It matches the Rfam family "Bacterial small subunit ribosomal RNA", at positions 9 to 524 of the family's 1533-position model. The record is from RNAcentral.